GCCAUCGGCCAUACUACGUUGAAUACGCCGGUUCUUGUCCGAUCACCGAAGCUAAACAACGUUGGGCCCGGGUAGUACUUGGAAGGGAGACCGCCUGGGAACACUGGGUGUCGUUGGCA
This 119-nucleotide ribosomal RNA is filed under the name Tropilaelaps mercedesae. Lineage: Eukaryota; Metazoa; Arthropoda; Arachnida; Mesostigmata; Laelapidae. The record is from RNAcentral.